UACGUAGGGACCGAGCGUUGUCCGGAUUCAUUGGGCGUAAAGAGCUCGUAGGCGGCUGUUCAAGUCGAACGUGAAAACUCGGAGCUCAACUCCGAGCCUGCGUUCGAUACUGGACGGCUAGAGUCUGGUAGGGGGAUCUGGAAUUCCUGGUGUAGCGGUGGAAUGCGCAGAUAUCGGGAGGAUCAUCUGUGGCGAAGGCGACACCCUGGACCAGCACUGACACUGAGGCACGAAAGCGUGGGGAGCAAACAGG
Molecule: ribosomal RNA, 253 nt
Filed under: uncultured bacterium
Lineage: Bacteria
Description: partial 16S ribosomal RNA
Rfam family: Bacterial small subunit ribosomal RNA
Source: RNAcentral